AUUGCUAUGGUGAAAUAGGUAGACACACAGGCUUGAGGUGCCUGGGCUCCUCGGGGCUUCCCGGUUCAAAUCCGGGUAGCAAUA
This 84-nucleotide transfer RNA is filed under the name Caulerpa sertularioides f. longipes. RNAcentral's name for it is "tRNA-Leu". It matches the Rfam family "tRNA". From Rfam's summary of the family: Transfer RNA (tRNA) molecules are approximately 80 nucleotides in length. Their secondary structure includes four short double-helical elements and three loops (D, anti-codon, and T loops). Further hydrogen bonds mediate the characteristic L-shaped molecular structure. tRNAs have two regions of fundamental functional importance: the anti-codon, which is responsible for specific mRNA codon recognition, and the 3' end, to which the tRNAs corresponding amino acid is attached (by aminoacyl-tRNA synthetases). tRNAs cope with the degeneracy of the genetic code in two manners: having more than one tRNA (with a specific anti-codon) for a particular amino acid; and 'wobble' base-pairing, i.e. permitting non-standard base-pairing at the 3rd anti-codon position. Lineage: Eukaryota; Viridiplantae; Chlorophyta; Ulvophyceae; Bryopsidales; Caulerpaceae. The record is from RNAcentral.